GAUGAACGCUGGCGGCGUGCUUAACACAUGCAAGUCGAACGAAGCACUUUAUUUGAUUUCCUUCGGGACUGAUUAUUUUGUGACUGAGUGGCGGACGGGUGAGUAACGCGUGGGUAACCUGCCUUGUACAGGGGGAUAACAGUUGGAAACGGCUGCUAAUACCGCAUAAGCGCACAGCAUCGCAUGAUGCAGUGUGAAAAACUCCGGUGGUAUAAGAUGGACCCGCGUUGGAUUAGCUAGUUGGUGAGGUAACGGCCCACCAAGGCGACGAUCCAUAGCCGACCUGAGAGGGUGACCGGCCACAUUGGGACUGAGACACGGCCCAAACUCCUACGGGAGGCAGCAGUGGGGAAUAUUGCACAAUGGGCGAAAGCCUGAUGCAGCGACGCCGCGUGAGCGAAGAAGUAUUUCGGUAUGUAAAGCUCUGUCAGCAGGGAAGAUAAUGACGGUACCUGACUAAGAAGCACCGGCUAAAUACGUG
Molecule: ribosomal RNA, 481 nt
Filed under: uncultured bacterium
Lineage: Bacteria
Description: partial 16S ribosomal RNA
Rfam family: Bacterial small subunit ribosomal RNA
Source: RNAcentral